Molecule: ribosomal RNA, 387 nt
Filed under: uncultured bacterium
Lineage: Bacteria
Description: bacterial SSU rRNA
Rfam family: Bacterial small subunit ribosomal RNA
Source: RNAcentral
AUUGAACGCUGGCGGCAUGCCUUACACAUGCAAGUCGAACGGUAACGCGGGGCAACCUGGCGACGAGUGGCGAACGGGUGAGUAAUAUAUCGGAACGUGCCCAGUAGUGGGGGAUAGCCCGGCGAAAGCCGGAUUAAUACCGCAUACGACCUACGGGUGAAAGCGGGGGAUCGCAAGACCUCGCGCUAUUGGAGCGGCCGAUAUCAGAUUAGGUAGUUGGUGGGGUAAAGGCCUACCAAGCCUACGAUCUGUAGCUGGUCUGAGAGGACGACCAGCCACACUGGGACUGAGACACGGCCCAGACUCCUACGGGAGGCAGCAGUGGGGAAUUUUGGACAAUGGGCGCAAGCCUGAUCCAGCCAUGCCGCGUGCGGGAAGAAGGCCUUC